Alligator sinensis (Chinese alligator) is the source of this 2386-nucleotide long non-coding RNA. RefSeq lists it as uncharacterized. Lineage: Eukaryota; Metazoa; Chordata; Crocodylia; Alligatoridae. The record is from RefSeq and is a predicted model, not a curated record. The transcript is spliced from 5 exons.
AGAGAGCUGGGUAGCUGUUAGUGACCUAUUGGUAAUAAAAACUUACUGCUCACUUCCUGUCCCUGAAUGCAGCACACUGGCUUGGAUGCUCCUUUCUUCUUUUAUGGAUCUGUUGCUUCCUGGGAUAAUGUUGUCAUUUUGUGCUGACCUCUUGCUGCUUUAGUUUGAGAUGGUACAUGACAAGUUUCCCUCUCUUGCUCCAAAAUUUGAGAUCUGGAUACAACCAGUCAAAAGGCAAAACUUAGCACAGCUGAAACCAGGACCUUCACCUCUGCAAUGCACUCCCACUGGAGUCGUGUCUUACAGUAGCUCAGAAUCGGUACAUAUGAGAACUGAACCCUCAGACAGGGAAUGGCAGUGAAUUCAUCAGGGGAGCCAACAAACAGCUAAUACAUGAGAGCAACUAACUGAGUCCAGAACAUUCCCUCCUGAUGUAAAAAUAUACGAGAGAGAGACAAACAAGCCUCAGGACUGCAUCCUUUCAUUCCUUUGAAGACCAUCUGCUGUCUUGUCCUCUGGAUAGGGAACUUGGGUGUACGUAGCCAAGUAGCUGACAGGAAAUAUCGUCAUUCUCUUUUCUGCGUGCUGCUGCUUGUCAUGCGUACCCUAAAAAUAGUGGGCUGCUGCUUCAUCAAAAGUAUGCGACACUCCCAGGUGAAAAUUGGGACAUCAGAGAAGUGUUUCGGAAACUUUGGGUUUAUUAUCCUGGUCACACCAGGGAUUGGAACGUGGUUCAGUGUUUUAUUUUAAAGUUCUUUAAAUUGUGGAGAGCAAUAUACACUUAUGAACACGAAUAACCCGGCUUUCCAGUGAAUAUGGCAAAAUAGGACAACACGUGUCAAGAAUUGCAAAAGUCAGAAAUGGAAAAGAUGUGCCAGGGUAUGGACAAACAUAAACAUUAUAUGGCUAUCAAAUGAUACCAGUACAAUCUGUUACAAUCCAACUGUUAGGUCUGCAUGCUUCUGAUUUGAUAAAAAUGUAACAGAACUGUUCCAGCUUUAACCUUGCUUCAUGCAGGGUCAAAUUAAGGCAAUUUAGCUCAUUCAUGUCUAUCGGAUCAUGCAGAUAUAACAGUUACAGCAUACAUAAUAGCCGCCAUGCUCUCCUCAGCUGCAGCUUUCCCUUCCCUUAUAAAGCAGAGAGCAAUGUAGGUUUAUCUAUAUGCUUAGGUUAUCUGUUAUAUCACCUGUGACUGAAAUCAGUGGAAUUUUUCCAAAUGCACAUUUGUGUAGAAUGGAAUCCAGUCCACUUUUACCUUUUUUUCCAAUUAAACUAUGUCUUAAGAUCUGAAUUGAAACUCUGUGCUUUUCCAGGGUUGUUUCUGUAGCUGGGAGAUGUCUUUUCAUAUGAGAGUGCCAAUAUUAUACCACCCACACUCCUUUCCUGUAAUUUUACUGAUAGAAAUUGUAAGAAAAAUCCACAAUAAUGAAUAUCCGGUACUUUCAAAACUGAACUGGCAGCUCAGUGUUACCUAAUUAAUAGUUUCUUUUACUUUCCAGUUCCCAAGGGACCUACAUUCCCAUUAAUAACUUUCAGAAGUUGUAUAACAAUUAUCUCACUAGCAGCGGCAUUCCCGUGCAAGCGUCCCUUAGCAUAGAAAUAAGGCAGGUGAAAAAAGGUUCACAUUUGACGUUUGAAAGACAACACUUAGGAAUUCCAGGAUAGCAUUGCCCUUACCAUCUUCUUAGGAAAUCCACUGUAAAAUACAGUAUGUGCUAAGUACAAGCCUUGCCACCUAAAUAUGGACUGCUUUUUGGCUCUAGCUGUUCAGAAAACCCCAGAGCAGGUGCCACAUUAAAUCACCCAACUUGAUUCUUUCCCUGGCUGAAGAUCACUGAGAGUUUACAUGAGCAGGAAUUUGGACAACACAUCUCACAAUUCAGAAAUGCUAGGAAACUAACGUUGCCCAACAACAUAAACACAUUCUUACCUCAGAAAGUCUUCAGGCUCCUAAUUGUGCGGAGUGCAACUUAAUUUGGCUUUGACAAGGAAGUGGUUUAGCACUUAUAGGGAAUACAUUUUAGUCUGUCAUACCAGUGCUAAUUUAUGCCACAUUUCCUUUCUAUUUAUAACUGAAAUAUUCUAAAUUGGCAACAUUAGAUGCAAAUAUAUUACAAUCUAACAGGAGGCCAAAUAUUUGGUAAAUCUGAUUUAAUUAAGGGAAGAAAUUAUUCCUGUAUGGCUGCCUAAUGGUCUUGCAGUUGCAAUUUCCAGAGUUUGAUUUGCUGAAAAGCUGCUGAUAACUCCUAAGAAAGUUUGAAGAUUAGUAUGUAAUUUAGCUUAGCUUAUUCUGUAUGUCUCAUUGCAUUUUAUUUUACUGAGGACUCUUGCCUAAAUGGAGGAUUUUUGUUACUUGAAAGCAUUUUUGAUCUCCUAUUUAUUUUCC